RNAcentral lists this ribosomal RNA (740 nucleotides) under uncultured archaeon. RNAcentral's name for it is "bacterial SSU rRNA". It matches the Rfam family "Archaeal small subunit ribosomal RNA", at positions 1 to 750 of the family's 1478-position model. The record is from RNAcentral.
UUCCGGUUGAUCCUGCCGGACCCGACUGCUAUCAGAGUGGGACUAAGCCAUGCGAGUCAACGUAGCAAUACGUGGCAUACGGCUCAGUAACACGUAGUCAACAUGCCCAGGGGACGAGGAUAACCUCGGGAAACUGAGGAUAAACCUCGAUAGGCCAUGAUUUCUGGAAUGAUUCUUGGCUCAAACCUAUAUGGCCCCUGGAUUGGACUGCGGCCGAUCAGGCUGUUGGUGAGGUAAUGGCCCACCAAACCUAUUACCGGUACGGGCUCUGAGAGGAGGAGCCCGGAGAUGGGCACUGAGACAAGGGCCCAGGCCCUAUGGGGCGCAGCAGGCGCGAAACCUCUGCAAUAGGCGAAAGCCUGACAGGGUUACUCUGAGUGACUUUCGCUAAGAAAGUCUUUUGGCACCUCUAAAAAGGGUGCAGAAUAAGGGGUGGGCAAGUCUGGUGUCAGCCGCCGCGGUAAUACCAGCACCCCGAGUGGUCGGGACGAUUAUUGGGCCUAAAGCAUCCGUAGCCGGUUCUGCAAGUCCCCCGUUAAAUCCAGCUGCUCAACAGAUGGGCCGCGGAGGAUACUACAGAGCUAGGAGGCAGGAGAGGCAAGCGGUACUCAGUGGGUAGGGGUAAAAUCCGUUGAUCCAUUGAAGACCACCAGUGGCGAAGGCGGCUUGCCAGAAUGCGCUCGACGGUGAGGGAUGAAAGCUGGGGGAGCAAACCGGAUUAGAUACCCGGGUAGUCCCAG